GACGAGCUCCCCGAACGUUAUUCGGUAUUACUGGUCUUAAAGAGUUCGUAGGCGGUCUGACAGGUCAGGUGUGAAAUCCCUCGGCUCAACCGAGGAACUGCGCUUGAAACCGUUAGACUUGAGGGAGAUAGAGGUGAGCGGAACAGAUGGUGGAGCGGUGAAAUGCGUUGAUAUCAUCUGGAACACCGGUGGCGAAAGCGGCUCACUGGAUCUUUUCUGACGCUGAGGAACGAAAGCUAGGGUAGCGAACGGG
RNAcentral lists this ribosomal RNA (253 nucleotides) under uncultured bacterium. RNAcentral's name for it is "partial 16S ribosomal RNA". It matches the Rfam family "Bacterial small subunit ribosomal RNA", at positions 524 to 776 of the family's 1533-position model. The record is from RNAcentral.